RNAcentral lists this non-coding RNA (625 nucleotides) under Pongo abelii (Sumatran orangutan). The record is from RNAcentral. Lineage: Eukaryota; Metazoa; Chordata; Mammalia; Primates; Hominidae.
UUUCCCGGAGAAGUUGUCAUGGGAGGCCAGCCGCCUGCUGGCAAGGAAGAUGGUUGAUUCUUCUGAGCAAUGGAGGCCCUGCAGAGCCCUGUAGUCGCUGUGGCCUGGCAUCCAUGGUUCACCCAAUGCUGGUGGAUGGCUCAGGACGGUACGUCUCACCUGAGAGGGUGGCUAGAGACAGUGUCUGCUCAGGACAUCAGAUGUCCCAUGAGGAGGAGCGUGUACUCACACCGGGGAGGUGGCUGAGGCAGUUGCUGUGGGAGGUGUGGUAACUGCUGGAAGGAAGAUGCUCGAUUCUUCUGAGCAACGAAGGCCACACGGAGUCCUGGAUUCGGUGUGGCCUGGCAUCCACGGUGCACUGUGUGCUGGCGAGUGGCUCAGGACGAGUAGUGGGCUCCACUGUUGUGCACAUCUUCCUGGAAAUCGUCUCUUGGCCCGCCAUUGCUGGGCGGCCACACCUGCUGCAGCUCGUGUGAGCAAAUAUGGCUCUGGAUCCUCUUUCCCGCUUUGAAAGCAGCUUCCAUCCUGAAGGCGUCCAGAGGGGGCAGUUAUCAUGGGACACCCGCCAUAUGCUGGCAAGGAAGAUGGUCAGUUCUUCUGAGCCGCAAAGGCCCCCAACGUCCUG